RNAcentral lists this ribosomal RNA (497 nucleotides) under uncultured bacterium. RNAcentral's name for it is "partial 16S ribosomal RNA". It matches the Rfam family "Bacterial small subunit ribosomal RNA", at positions 28 to 507 of the family's 1533-position model. The record is from RNAcentral.
GAUGAACGCUGGCGGCGUGCCUAAUACAUGCAAGUCGAGCGAACAGACGAGGAGCUUGCUCCUCUGACGUUAGCGGCGGACGGGGGAGUAACACGUGGAUAACCUACCUAUAAGACUGGGAUAACUUCGGGAAACCGGAGCUAAUACCGGAUAAUAUAUUGAACCGCAUGGUUCAAUAGUGAAAGGCGGUUUUGCUGUCACUUAUAGAUGGAUCCGCGCCGCAUUAGCUAGUUGGUAAGGUGACGGCUUACCAAGGCAACGAUGCGUAGCCGACCUGAGAGGGUGAUCGGCCACGCUGGAACUGAGACACGGUCCAGACUCCUACGGGAGGCAGCAGUAGGGGAUCUGCCGAAAAGGGCGAAGGCUUGACGGAGCAACGCCGCGUGAGUGAUGAAGGUCUUCGGAUCGUAAAACUCUGUUAUUAGGGAAGAACAAAUGUGUAAGUAACUAUGAGCGUCUUGACGGUACCUAAUCAGAAAGCCACGGCUAACUACGUG